RNAcentral lists this ribosomal RNA (460 nucleotides) under uncultured bacterium. RNAcentral's name for it is "partial 16S ribosomal RNA". It matches the Rfam family "Bacterial small subunit ribosomal RNA", at positions 338 to 795 of the family's 1533-position model. The record is from RNAcentral.
CCUACGGGAGGCUGCAGUGAGGAAUAUUGGUCAAUGGACGGAAGUCUGAACCAGCCAUGCCGCGUGCAGGAAGACGGCUCUAUGAUUUGUAAACUGCUUUUGUACAAGGGUAAACCUGAAUACGUGUAUUUAGCUGAAAGUACUAUAUGAAUAAGGAUCGGCUAACUCCGUGCCAGCAGCCGCGGUAAUACGGAGGAUCCAAGCGUUAUCCGGAUUUAUUGGGUUUAAAGGGUGCGUAGGCGGAUUGAUAAGUUAGAGGUGAAAUGUUCGAGCUUAACUAGGGAACUGCCUUUAAUACUGUUGGUCUAGAGUGUAUAUGCGGUAGGCGGAAUGUAUGGUGUAGCGGUGAAAUGCUUAGAGAUCACACAGAACACCGAGUGCGAAGGCAGCUUACCAAUCUAUAUCUGACAUUGAGGCACGAAAGCGUGGGGAGCAAACAGGAUUAGAUACCCGAGUAGUC